This 434-nucleotide ribosomal RNA is filed under the name uncultured Lachnospiraceae bacterium. RNAcentral describes it as "partial 16S ribosomal RNA". It matches the Rfam family "Bacterial small subunit ribosomal RNA", at positions 341 to 792 of the family's 1533-position model. The record is from RNAcentral. Lineage: Bacteria; Bacillati; Bacillota; Clostridia; Lachnospirales; Lachnospiraceae.
ACGGAAGGCAGCAGUGGGGAAUAUUGCACAAUGGGCGAAAGCCUGAUGCAGCGACGCCGCGUGAGCGAAGAAGUAUUUCGGUAUGUAAAGCUCUAUCAGCAGGGAAGAUAAUGACGGUACCUGACUAAGAAGCACCGGCUAAAUACGUGCCAGCAGCCGCGGUAAUACGUAUGGUGCAAGCGUUAUCCGGAUUUACUGGGCGUAAAGGGCGUGUAGGCGGCACUGUAAGUCCGGAGUGAAAGUCCUGCUUUCAAGGUGGGAAUUGCUUUGGAGACUGCAGAGCUUGAGUACAGAAGAGGUAAGCGGAAUUCCCGGUGUAGCGGUGAAAUGCGUAGAGAUCGGGAGGAACACCAGUGGCGAAGGCGGCUUACUGGGCUGUAACUGACGCUGAGGCGCGAAAGCGUGGGGAGCGAACAGGAUUAGAUACCCUGGUA